RNAcentral lists this ribosomal RNA (429 nucleotides) under Chloroflexota bacterium. RNAcentral describes it as "Chloroflexi bacterium partial 16S ribosomal RNA". It matches the Rfam family "Bacterial small subunit ribosomal RNA", at positions 355 to 776 of the family's 1533-position model. The record is from RNAcentral. Lineage: Bacteria; Bacillati; Chloroflexota.
UAGGGAAUCUUCGGCAAUGGACGAAAGUCUGACCGAGCAACGCCGCGUGAGUGAAGAAGGUUUUCGGAUCGUAAAACUCUGUUGUUAGAGAAGAACAAGGACGUUAGUAACUGAACGUCCCCUGACGGUAUCUAACCAGAAAGCCACGGCUAACUACGUGCCAGCAGCCGCGGUAAUACGUAGGUGGCAAGCGUUGGCCGGAUUUAUUGGGCGUAAAGCGAGCGCAGGCGGUUUCUUAAGUCUGAUGUGAAAGCCCCCGGCUCAACCGGGGAGGGUCAUUAGAAACUGGGAGACUUGAGUGCAGAAGAGGAGAGUGGAAUUCCAUGUGUAGCGGUGAAAUGCAUGGAUAUAUGGAGGAACACCAGUGGCGAAGGCGGCUCUCUGGUCUGUAACUGACGCUGAGGCUCGAAAGCGUGGGGAGCAAACAGG